Molecule: long non-coding RNA, 1037 nt
Filed under: Solanum tuberosum (potato)
Lineage: Eukaryota; Viridiplantae; Streptophyta; Magnoliopsida; Solanales; Solanaceae
Description: long non-coding RNA (STUB_LNC002677)
Source: RNAcentral
UAACAAACAUUCAAAAACACAUAUUAUAGAUUCUUCAAAAACCGAGCAAAAUGUUACAUGUCAAGAUUCAGAAAUUAUACGGCACCAAGUUGGAUUGUGAGAGAAUUGUGUAAUCAAUCAUUAAAUUGAAUAUUGACUGAAUAAAGAAGAAUAAAGUCUACCAUUUCUACGUAAAUGGUAAAAGAUAAAUACAAGAAGGUCCCAGGAAGCUAUUUGCCUCUAAUUAACCAUAUGUAUAUUCUCAACAAGCAAAAAUAAAUAAGGGUAACUCUCAGCCAGUGAAAAUGGAAAGCUGGUAUUUCCUCAGCUGGAACAUAGACUUCCCCAGCAACUGCCUGCCUACCUGUAGCGACUUCAUUCAGAAUUUCGUAUUAAAUCUCUUCUGUUAGCGCCACAAAGCUACUGAAUCCCCAGGAGAAUGAUGGGAACACACAGUCCGCAACAUAAAACCCUGCAAGAUUUUCAGUAUCUAUGAGCACCUAGUAUUUCAAGGUAACAUAUACAACUUGAUGGUUCUAAGUGGUUCGCAAUUGAUGAAUUGAAAACAGAUUAAAUGGGACGUUCCUCACGCACAUACAAAAAGAUCCGAAGUCCAAUAGCUAGAGAAAAUGUUUAUUUUUGAAUCUUUAUUUUCUUCUUCCUCUAUUUAUUUAUAUGUUUGAACUUUGAAUCUAUAAUUUCAUAUCAUGUAUAUUGUUCCUUCGGCAGAUGUUGCAUAUAUUAUGUUAAUCAGAGAUCUCGUAUCUAGUCAGCAAAUCUCAAUAGUGGCAGCUUUUUCAAUUUCAAAUGUGAGGCCAAUAAGGAACGCCAAUUUCACUUGUGUAACUACAAUCAAGAGUAAGCAGAAAUAUCAAACAGAAUCUGCAGAAACAAUUUUUUUUUUUGUCUGUGUGUGUGUGUGAGAGAGAGAGAGAGAAGGGGGAAAGAAAUGGUCAUAUCAUAUUCUCAUUCUAUUGUUCCAUGGACGACGAUAUAUAUUAAUGACUUCAGUGAAGCCACAGCACAAACAAAACACUCAAAGCAAGCGACUUUGAACA